GACGUAGGGCGCGAGCGUUGUCCGGAUUUAUUGGGCGUAAAGAGCUCGUAGGCGGUCUGUCGCGUCUGCUGUGAAAACUCGGGGCUUAACCCCGGGCCUGCAGUGGGUACGGGCAGACUGGAGUGCGGUAGGGGAGACUGGAAUUCCUGGUGUAGCGGUGAAAUGCGCAGAUAUCAGGAGGAACACCGAUGGCGAAGGCAGGCCUCUGGGCCACUACUGACGCUGAGAAGCGAAAGCAUGGGGAGCGAACAGG
RNAcentral lists this ribosomal RNA (253 nucleotides) under uncultured bacterium. Its description in RNAcentral is "partial 16S ribosomal RNA". It matches the Rfam family "Bacterial small subunit ribosomal RNA", at positions 524 to 776 of the family's 1533-position model. The record is from RNAcentral.